Molecule: ribosomal RNA, 598 nt
Filed under: uncultured Trichoderma
Lineage: Eukaryota; Fungi; Ascomycota; Sordariomycetes; Hypocreales; Hypocreaceae
Description: eukaryotic LSU rRNA
Rfam family: 5.8S ribosomal RNA (bases 200-353)
Source: RNAcentral
GAAAAUACGAGGUCACUCCAACCCAUGUGACGUUACCAAACUGUUGCCUCGGCGGGAUCUCUGCCCCGGGUGCGUCGCAGCCCCGGACCAAGGCGCCCGCCGGAGGACCAACCAAAACUCUUUUUGUAUACCCCCUCGCGGGUUUUUUAUAAUCUGAGCCUUCUCGGCGCCUCUCGUAGGCGUUUCGAAAAUGAAUCAAAACUUUCAACAACGGAUCUCUUGGUUCUGGCAUCGAUGAAGAACGCAGCGAAAUGCGAUAAGUAAUGUGAAUUGCAGAAUUCAGUGAAUCAUCGAAUCUUUGAACGCACAUUGCGCCCGCCAGUAUUCUGGCGGGCAUGCCUGUCCGAGCGUCAUUUCAACCCUCGAACCCCUCCGGGGGGUCGGCGUUGGGGAUCGGCCCUGCCUCUUGGCGGUGGCCGUCUCCGAAAUACAGUGGCGGUCUCGCCGCAGCCUCUCCUGCGCAGUAGUUUGCACACUCGCAUCGGGAGCGCGGCGCGUCCACAGCCGUUAAACACCCAACUUCUGAAAUGUUGACCUCGGAUCAGGUAGGAAUACCCGCUGAACUUAAGCAUAUCAAUAAGCGGAGGAACAUAUCAAU